GAUGAAGAACGUAGUGAAAUGCGAUAAGUAAUGUGAAUUGCAGAAUUCAGUGAAUCAUCGAAUCUUUGAACGCACAUUGCGCCCGCCAGUAUUCUGGCGGGCAUGCCUGUUCGAGCGUCAUUACAACCCUCAGGCCCCCGGGCCUGGCGUUGGGGAUCGGCGGAGCCCCCCGUGGGCACACGCCGUCCCCCAAAUACAGUGGCGGUCCCGCCGCAGCUUCCAUCGCGUAGUAGCUAACACCUCGCGACUGGAGAGCGGCGCGGCCACGCCGUAAAACACCCAACUCUUCUGAAGUUGACCUCGAAUCAGGUAGGAAUACCCGCUGAACUUAAGCAUAUCAAUAGCGGAGGA
RNAcentral lists this unclassified non-coding RNA (351 nucleotides) under soil metagenome. RNAcentral describes it as "partial contains 5.8S ribosomal RNA, internal transcribed spacer 2, and large subunit ribosomal RNA". The stretch from base 1 to 120 matches the Rfam family "5.8S ribosomal RNA", at positions 35 to 154 of the family's 154-position model. The record is from RNAcentral.